UGGUCUGAGAGGAUGAUCAGUCACACUGGAACUGAGACACGGUCCAGACUCCUACGGGAGGCAGCAGUAGGGAAUAUUGCGCAAUGGGGGAAACCCUGACGCAGCAACGCCGCGUGGAGGAUGACACUUUUCGGAGCGUAAACUCCUUUUCUUAGGGAAGAAUUCUGACGGUACCUAAGGAAUAAGCACCGGCUAACUCCGUGCCAGCAGCCGCGGUAAUACGGAGGGUGCAAGCGUUACUCGGAAUCACUGGGCGUAAAGGGCGCGUAGGCGGAUUAUCAAGUCUCUUGUGAAAUCUAAUGGCUUAACCAUUAAACUGCUUGGGAAACUGAUAGUCUAGAGUGAGGGAGAGGCAGAUGGAAUUGGUGGUGUAGGGGUAAAAUCCGUAGAUAUCACCAAGAAUACCCAUUGCGAAGGCGAUCUGCUGGAACUCAACUGACGCUAAGGCGCGAAAGCGUGGGGAGCAAACAGGAUUAGAUACCCUGGUAGUCCACGCCCUAAACGAUGUACACUAGUUGUUGGGGUGCUAGUCAUCUCAGUAAUGCAGCUAACGCAUUAAGUGUACCGCCUGGGGAGUACGGUCGCAAGAUUAAAACUCAAAGGAAUAGACGGGGACCCGCACAAGCGGUGGAGCAUGUGGUUUAAUUCGAAGAUACGCGAAGAACCUUACCUGGGCUUGAUAUCCUAAGAACCUUUUAGAGAUAAGAGGGUGCUAGCUUGCUAGAACUUAGAGACAGGUGCUGCACGGCUGUCGUCAGCUCGUGUCGUGAGAUGUUGGGUUAAGUCCCGCAACGAGCGCAACCCACGUAUUUAGUUGCUAACGGUUCGGCCGAGCACUCUAAAUAGACUGCCUUCGUAAGGAGGAGGAAGGUGUGGACGACGUCAAGUCAUCAUGGCCCUUAUGCCCAGGGCGACACACGUGCUACAAUGGCAUAUACAAUGAGACGCAAUACCGCGAGGUGGAGCAAAUCUAUAAAAUAUGUCCCAGUUCGGAUUGUUCUCUGCAACUCGAGAGCAUGAAGUCGGAAUCGCUAGUAAUCGUAGAUCAGCCAUGCUACGGUGAAUACGUUCCCGGGUCUUGUACUCACCGCCCGUCACACCAUGGGAGUUGAUUUCACUCGAAGCCGGAAUACUAAACUAGUUACCGUCCACAGUGGAAUCAGCGACUGGGGUGAAGUCGUAACAAGGUAACCGUAGGAGAACCUGCGGUUGGAUCACCUCCUUUCUA
Molecule: ribosomal RNA, 1228 nt
Filed under: Campylobacter coli
Lineage: Bacteria; Pseudomonadati; Campylobacterota; Epsilonproteobacteria; Campylobacterales; Campylobacteraceae
Description: bacterial SSU rRNA
Rfam family: Bacterial small subunit ribosomal RNA
Source: RNAcentral